UAGUGUUGCAGCUUUUUGAAAGAACCUGUCUAGCUGGUUUUCUGGUUUUCACCGGAAGACCCAU
This is a small nuclear RNA of Homo sapiens (human), 64 nucleotides long. Lineage: Eukaryota; Metazoa; Chordata; Mammalia; Primates; Hominidae. The record is from Ensembl.